This 427-nucleotide ribosomal RNA is filed under the name uncultured bacterium. RNAcentral describes it as "bacterial SSU rRNA". It matches the Rfam family "Bacterial small subunit ribosomal RNA", at positions 355 to 775 of the family's 1533-position model. The record is from RNAcentral.
UCGAGAAUUUUUCACAAUGGGCGAAAGCCUGAUGGAGCGACGCCGCGUGGGGGAUGAAUGGCUUCGGCCCGUAAACCCCUGUCAUUUGCGAUCAACCGUUGUUAUUUAAAAGAUGACAGCCUGAUAGUAGCGAAAGAGGAAGGGACGGCUAACUCUGUGCCAGCAGCCGCGGUAAUACAGAGGUCCCACGCGUUGUUCGGAUUCACUGGGCGUAAAGGGUGCGUAGGUGGCGGGGUAAGUCGGAUGUGAAAUCUCGGGGCUCAACUCCGGAAUGGCAUUGGAAACGACGCUGCUCGAGGAUUGGAGGGGGGAGGGGAAUACUUGGUGGAGCAGUGAAAUGCGUAGAUAUCAAGUAGAACACCAGUGGCGAAGGCGAGUCCCUGGACAACUCCUGACACUGAGGCACGAAAGCUAGGGGAGCAAACAG